Long non-coding RNA from Lutra lutra (Eurasian river otter), 974 nucleotides. RefSeq lists it as uncharacterized. The record is from RefSeq and is a predicted model, not a curated record. The transcript is spliced from 4 exons. NCBI's taxonomy places the organism in Eukaryota, Metazoa, Chordata, Mammalia, Carnivora, Mustelidae.
CUCAAAUCUCUGAGCUUCCAUUUCUCCAUCUGUCACGACUGGAAGUGUGGCACGCCCCUCUGCCACUGCCUGCUCUCAGCGACAGAGCUCAACAGGACUUAAUUGUUCAAGCUGGUGCCUCCCUUCCCUGCUUCCUUGGUUAAUUGUGCUUCAAGGCCCCGCCAGGAAGCACCCCAGUGUGCCCUGAGAUCUUCACAUUCUCUUUCUACCAAGACUUCGACACAGCAUGAAGAGUUUUGAGGGAGGAUGAAUGUAUUUUGGCGUCCAUAAAAGAAGGAAGUUUAACAUUUGAACAAGAGGACAAUUUGUGGCAGAUGUAUAUUUUUCUCAAUUAUUUGCUGCUCUACUGUGGGAGAAUUAUACUUCCUGCUUUUUUCAAGUCAGGCUUUGUCGUAUGACUUGAUUUUUCUCCCUGCUGCAACAGAACGACAUGCCCAAAUGGGGACUGCACAUUAAGCAUGGGUCUCAGAAUGAAGAGUGAGAAGAGAGGUGCCAUCUACCUCAUCUGAUAUGAAACACAAGUGUAAGUGGCAACCACUAGGUGUCUUAAAGGUAUAAGUGACAUUGACUUCCCUUCUAAUUCCAUGAAGGGUGGAAGAGGAUAUAGUAGGAAUCCUAGCCCACCAAUCCCAAGUGAUCUGUGAGAAUCUCAGGCUACCUUCAUUCUCCUGGAUUUUUCCAGAUUUGUGAUGGUUUGAGACUUCCCCUCUUCUUCCAUCAUCAUUUGGGCAGGUUGGAAUUAUUAAGAGGUUGGCUGGGACUCCGUGAGUCAGAAAGUUGAAGGUUUGGGGAACGUGUUGGCUGUUUUCUCCAAUCCUAACCUCUAUUAGCCAAUUGGAAAUUGCAUUUCAGAUGUCUUGGCUGAGGUGACUUCAGAAAUCACUAUCACUUAAGUUUAUUUCAGCUACCAUAAAAUGGGCAACUGAGACAGAAGUAUUCUCCCAGAAUACCUCUGUCAUGAAAUCAUGUGCCAA